RNAcentral lists this long non-coding RNA (1557 nucleotides) under Marmota monax (woodchuck). Lineage: Eukaryota; Metazoa; Chordata; Mammalia; Rodentia; Sciuridae. The record is from RNAcentral.
CAUUGCAAUAGUUUUUUUUUGUGUUUAAUUAUAUAGUUAUAUUUCCAUCAUCACAGUCUAGUCUUAGAAUAUUUUCAUAAGCCCCCCCCCCCAAAAAAAAAAAAACCACCUUGUGUUCAUUAGCUGUCAGUGAUCAUUCUGCACCCUUAUUCCCUGGUGACCACUGAUUCUCUCUCUCUAAAUUCCCUGUUUUGGAUGUUUUAUCUAAAUGAAUCAUAGAAUAUGUAGCCUUUGUGUCUGAUUUCUUUCACUCAGCAUAAUGUUUAUGCACAUAUCAGUAAUUCAUCCUUUUUGAUGCUCAAUAAAUAAUCAACUGUAUGGAUAUAUACCAUACCAUAUUUUGUUGAUCCAUUCAUCAGUUGACAGAUAGUUUGGUUGUUUCUACUUUUUAUCUAUUACAAAUAAUAUGGCUGUAAACCUUGGCCUAGAAAGCUUUUGUGUGGCCAUGUUUUCAGUUCUUUAGGAGUCAGAUGGUAACAGUAUUUAACAAUUUGAGGCACUGCCAGACUGUUUUUCAAAUGCACCAUUUUUAUGUUCCCACAAGUGAUGAAUGAGGGGUCCAAUUUCUCCUUACCUAAGACAACCCUUAUUACUGUCUGGCUUUUUGAUUAUAGCUAUCCUGAUGAGUAUGAAGUGGUAUCUCAGUGGUUUUAUUUAUUUAUGUUUUUUAUGCUAGGGAUUGAAUCCAGGAACACUUUGCCACUGAGUUACAUCCCCGUGCUUUUUGUGUAUUAUUUCGAGACAGGGUCUCGCUAGGUUCCCAAGGUUGGCCUCAUGCUCCAGAGUCACAGGGGUUACAGGUGUGGGUACUGCUGGGCCCGGCAUCUCAGUCUGGUUUUGAUUUUCAUUUUUCUGACGGCUAAUGAUAUUGAGCCCCUUUUCCUCUUUCCUGGAUUAUACCUUUGGGACCAGAUCAAUCUCCUUCAAAGGAAGAAACUGCAACAAAUAUAGCUCUGGAGUUGUUGGCAGCUAUGCUUUCUGCCAUUGGAAAAAACCAGGGCGAAGUUAGAGAGGGAGAAGGCUGCCAUGUGGAAAGAGAUGCAAGGUGGGAACAGAAGUUGUGGAGUUUGAGUUCCUGUGACAGUUCUUACGGAAGGCCAGCUUGACCUCUGACCUUUCUGUGGUUCAUAGUUCAGUCCUUUGACGCUGCUUACUGACAAAUUAUUAUUGUUGCUUAAACAUCUUUCUUUUUUUUAAAGCUUCUUCCAUUUGGAUCUGAAGAUAAUUAUGAUGAUGAUGCUACUACUGAUUGUUUUAAGAUCAUUUUUCCCAAUUUCUAAAUGACAGAGCUACUAUGAAUUGGAGUCUUUAGGAGUCAAAAGGAUUUUAACAGGUUGUAAUCAUGGGAGAAACCAACCAGCUUCAUUUUAACAAAGACAAAUGACACCACCAGCAUUUUGAUUCAAAUAAUCAAUGACUUGUAUAGCUGAUGGGAGGGACCUGGUUUCACAGGAGUCUAUGUUAACAAUCACAGGGGAAUUUAACUUCAGCAGUGUUGGCCACCAGUAAUAGCUGCUAAAACUUUAAUUUAGCAGAAAAGGGGAGUAGGUAGGCCAG